RNAcentral lists this ribosomal RNA (463 nucleotides) under marine Metazoa environmental sample. RNAcentral's name for it is "SSU rRNA". It matches the Rfam family "Eukaryotic small subunit ribosomal RNA", at positions 587 to 972 of the family's 1831-position model. Lineage: Eukaryota; Metazoa. The record is from RNAcentral.
AGCUCCAAUAGCGUAUAUUAAAGUUGUUGCGGUUAAAAAGCUCGUAGUUGGAUUCCUGUCUUCGGCCGGGCGGUGCCGCCCGAUCAAAGGGCGUCGCACUGCUUUGGGUCGGCGGUGUCAAAGCCGUCGACUUUUAACGGUCGGACAAUACCACCGGAGCGGUCGCGUCGGUCCGUCGGGCCUCCGGGUCCGGCGGUCGCCGGCGCGGCCCGUGAUCGUCCGAGGAGCCCUUAACGUUUACUUUGAUCAAAUUAGAGUGCUCCAAGCAGGUGCAUACCUUCGCCUUAAGAGUACAGCAUGGAAUGAUGGAAUAGGACCUCGGUCUUAUUUUGUUGGUUUUUCUAGACCCGAGGUAAUGAUUAAUAGAGACGGACGGGGGCAUUCGUACUGCGACGCUAGAGGUGAAAUUCUUGGACCGUCGCAAGACGAACGACUGCGAAAGCAUUUGCCAAGAAUGUUUUCA